Molecule: small nuclear RNA, 161 nt
Organism: Myotis lucifugus (little brown bat)
Lineage: Eukaryota; Metazoa; Chordata; Mammalia; Chiroptera; Vespertilionidae
Gene: U1
Rfam family: U1 spliceosomal RNA
About the family: U1 is a small nuclear RNA (snRNA) component of the spliceosome (involved in pre-mRNA splicing).
Source: Ensembl
GUACUCACCUGGCAGGGGAGAUGCUGUGCUCCUGAAGGUGGUUUUCCCCAGCAAGGCUUACCCUCUGCGCUCCGGGUGUGCGGGCCCUGCAACCUCCCCAGUUGUGGGAGACUCGACUGCAUCAUUUGUGGUGAUGGGGGAUUAGAAAGUUAAAGUUUAAA